UACGUAGGGACCGAGCGUUGUCCGGAAUCAUUGGGCGUAAAGAGCGUGUAGGCGGCCACUUAAGUCCUGCGUGAAAUCUUGCGGCUCAACCGCAAGCGGUCGUGGGAAACUGGGUGGCUAGAGUGCGGGAGAGGAGAGUGGAAUUCCUGGUGUAGCGGUGGAAUGCGCAGAUAUCAGGAAGAACACCCGUGGCGAAGGCGGCUCUCUGGAACGCAACUGACGCUGAGAAGCGAAAGCGUGGGGAGCAAACAGG
Molecule: ribosomal RNA, 253 nt
Filed under: uncultured bacterium
Lineage: Bacteria
Description: partial 16S ribosomal RNA
Rfam family: Bacterial small subunit ribosomal RNA
Source: RNAcentral